UACGGAGGGUGCAAGCGUUAUCCGGAUUCACUGGGUUUAAAGGGUGCGUAGGCGGUUAAGUAAGUCCGUGGUGAAAUCUCUGAGCUUAACUCAGAAACUGCCGUGGAUACUAUUUGCCUUGAAUAUUGUGGAGGUGAGCGGAAUAUGUCAUGUAGCGGUGAAAUGCUUAGAUAUGACAUAGAACACCAAUUGCGAAGGCAGCUCACUACACAAUCAUUGACGCUGAGGCACGAAAGCGUGGGGAUCAAACAGG
RNAcentral lists this ribosomal RNA (253 nucleotides) under uncultured bacterium. RNAcentral describes it as "partial 16S ribosomal RNA". It matches the Rfam family "Bacterial small subunit ribosomal RNA", at positions 524 to 776 of the family's 1533-position model. The record is from RNAcentral.